CCUACGGGCGGCAGCAGUGGGGAAUAUUGGACAAUGGGGGGAACCCUGAUCCAGCCAUGCCGCGUGUGUGAAGAAGGCCCUCGGGUUGUAAAGCACUUUCAGUGAGGAAGAACGCCUGGUGGUUAAUACCCAUCAGGAAAGACAUCACUCACAGAAGAAGCACCGGCUAACUCCGUGCCAGCAGCCGCGGUAAUACGGAGGGUGCGAGCGUUAAUCGGAAUUACUGGGCGUAAAGCGCGCGUAGGUGGCUUGAUAAGCCGGUUGUGAAAGCCCCGGGCUCAACCUGGGAACGGCAUCCGGAACUGUCAAGCUAGAGUGCAGGAGAGGAAGGUAGCAUUCCCGGUGUAGCGGUGAAAUGCGUAGAGAUCGGGAGGAAUACCAGUGGCGAAGGCGGCCUUCUGGACUGACACUGACACUGAGGUGCGAAAGCGUGGGUAGCAAACAGGAUUAGAUACCCGGGUAGUC
This 465-nucleotide ribosomal RNA is filed under the name Vreelandella stevensii. RNAcentral's name for it is "partial 16S ribosomal RNA". It matches the Rfam family "Bacterial small subunit ribosomal RNA", at positions 338 to 795 of the family's 1533-position model. Lineage: Bacteria; Pseudomonadati; Pseudomonadota; Gammaproteobacteria; Oceanospirillales; Halomonadaceae. The record is from RNAcentral.